RNAcentral lists this long non-coding RNA (22335 nucleotides) under Lupinus angustifolius (narrow-leaved blue lupine). RNAcentral describes it as "long non-coding RNA (LANG_LNC002188)". The record is from RNAcentral. Lineage: Eukaryota; Viridiplantae; Streptophyta; Magnoliopsida; Fabales; Fabaceae.
AAUUGGAAAGGAAAGUCAUUAAGGGUAAUUUCCCUGAUGGUUUCACGCAGAAACGUGAAUUGGAAAAAAUGGGAUUGAAAUCCCUAAUCCCCAAACUUCUCCUCCUUCAAUGGCAGUGGCGGUAAAGGGCACCGUUCGUGGCUAGGACCAGGCGGGUGUGAUUCGCGAUAAUGGCAAAGGAGGGCGCGACGGGGAAGUGACAGUGAAUGACCUUCAUCCUCCAGCGGCGAUGAACAACAAUCACGACCAAGGGUGGUUCAGGGUUGUAGCGCGGUGGUGUAUAUUUGCGAGUUCUUCUUCUCUUAAUCAUCACGGGUUUCAUUUUUCGGUUCGUAAAGUGCUUAACCCAAAGUACCUCUAAUUCGAAAUGGGUACAAAGGAUGGUGAGUUAUGGUUUUUUUGGUGUAACGAUGAUAGAGCCACUAAUGGCUGACUCUGAAUCGGGUAACUACUACUUCAUUAAUUUUUGUCAAUUCAUUGCCUUAAGUUGAUUAUCAGUUUUCUUGCUCUUCCAUGAACUCAUACAAUUUUGAUUGAUCUUUACAAAAUGUUAAUCCUGAGUCAUUGACCCAAAGUCAGCUAGAGAAUAUCAAAGAUAUACGCUGUAUCGACUGAACCGAGGCGUCUUCCAUUGGUGAUUAUUCGCAACCGAACAGAGGAGAGGUAAACAUUCUCCUUAUUUCUCAUGAAGCCUUACCGAUUGUAUGAGUUUUGUUAGUGUUCCAGAUUAGUAAUGAUAAAGGAAUAAUCUUUUUACUAUUGAAUUCUUGCCUAAUCCUUAGGUGAUGGUACUAAUUGAUGGAAACAUAUAGGCUAAAACAAAUUUCAAUCAUCCUUUUUACUUUCCAAUCCACACUAUAUGUAUACGUGUUUUUUGUGUUAUGAUCGAUUAUAAACAGUUAUGAAUUAAUCAUACAAGUCUAACGUAUAAGCCAUACAAAGUGUGGAGUGUUCAUAAAACAAAAUUUAUGGUUUGAGUGCUUACCUGAGUACGCUCUCCUUCCUGUGUUGUAGGUGUAUGUAGCCUGAUAUUUCUGUGUGCUGGUAUAGGCCUGGAUUUUCUGAUUGGUUACGAGCUUUGUACGUCACUCUGCUUCUAUGUAAUUCGGUUUAUUUUCUUUAUAUAGCUCUCUGAUUUAUUACGUGUAUGAUAUCUGUGUUGUAAUCUCUGCCUCUAUUGCGAUGUAAAUGUGUCUGUAAUCUUUGUUCUAUUUUUAUCACUGUUGCAAUGUCUCUCUGAUUUAUGUAUGCUGGUGUAUAUCUCGUUUCUGUUUUUUGUUUCUGGAUGCUUUACUACACUACCUCUUGGCUGAUUUCUCUUGUGGUUAUGUAUGUGUAGCUAUGUUGUGUGUCCCUGAAUGUGAUCUUAUCUACACGUUGCUUUUACUGAUUUCCUGUUGAGUUCCUGCUUUUGUUCUCUGAUUCCUGCCUUUUGUUCUCUGGUUCCUGCCUCUGUGUGUAUUUGGACUGAUUUGUAUCUGCUUGAUCUUUCCUAUUUUUGUGUUCUCUUUUCUCACGGAGUCCCAUUCUUGAUUUUUAUGAUGAUGUAUCUGUGACUAGUAGGUGCAUGUUUGUGAUAUCUCUCUUUUUCGUUUCUCUCUCCUUUUGUGUGUAUCUCUUAUAUCCCUUCUUUUUUUGUCCUUUUUUGCUUUUUUUAUUGGCUAUUUUUGAACACCCUCAAAUGACAGUCGUAAGUGCAUAAAAGCAUGAUUCACCCUCGAAGUUUGAAGGCGAGGAUUCAAGAUCUUGCUUCUGCUUGGUAGAGGGAUUUUGGAUUAAUCAAUGAUGAGCAACUUUAGUCUUGCCCAAGUUAUAGGUUUCUUGGUACUUUCAUUCGAGAAAUGGGGUCAGCCCCCAUAAACUGCCCCAGUUUGGAUUGAUGUCGUUCGUUUGAUUUCAACUUCUCAUGUGUUUUCUUCAUGCACAACUCCUUAAAAAUAAAUACUAAAAACAGUGAUCAAGCAAAUUUGGAUUAUUUUUUUUGGGUUUUGAGUGUUGAUAUGGUGGUGGUGAUGAUGAAAGAUUGAGAUUUAAUCCGAUGCAUUAAAGAUGAGAUAUUUUCAUCAAAACUUUAUGAUAUUUAUUGGAGUCAGCAUUUCUUUGCCCUAGUACAUUUCUUAGGCAAAUCAUAUUCUCGACAAGGUCUUUUGAGCUUGUAUCGUAGCCUGGCUAGGGAUUUCAAAGAAAAAGGAUAAGGCUCGAAAAUGUCUUUCCCAAACCCCUUUCUACAUUCUCCUUUCUCCAUUGUCCUAUUUCAACAGUUUUCUUGACAUGACAUUCCAAUACUAAGAUUUUGUUGGAUUUUUGUGAUGUAGUAGGUGAAUGCCUAAUAUUUAGGCGAUAAUCUUCCCGAGAGGUAUUUGAAUUGUUCCUUUUUGUGGUCAUUGAUAGUGCACUUUAUUUUCCGUAACUUUUGCCUGAGAUUUUUAUUGAGGAUUCUCUGCGGGCCUUUUGUAUAUUUUUCCUUUUGUUUUUUUAUGUUAUUUUUCACUUUGACCGAUGAACUUUUUUAUUUGAAUUGCUUAGGAUUUUUAUCCCUCGGGUUAGAUUUGGAAAUAAUAGAGUGUAUUUAUUUCUUAAUAAUUGAAUGCCAAGGAAAACAAUUGAGAUACUACCCUGCCCAAGGUUGUUGAUAUUUUGCGGGUUUUUAGAAAAAUCUCCUUUCAUAAAGCCUAGGGCUCAAAUGGGUGACUAGGGAUAUCUUCAUAGUGUUUGGGAUUUUCAAAGAUGCCUUGUGUCAUCAGAAAGAUUUGCCUUAGAACAUGUACCAUUCUGGAGAAAAAUCUGCCUAAGAAUUUGCACCAUUAUGGGUCUUACAUUUACAUCAUCCUACAUUUCAUUUAAAUUACUGAAUCAAAUAUAUCACAUUAAUGCAUGAAAUUUGGUUUUUGAUUUUUUUUGUUGGAAUGAGAUUUGUGCAAUGAAGUAUGAGAUGGUAAAUUCGCAUGAUCAAUGCAUUAGUAUGUUCUUCUAAAAAAGAUAUGCCGUCGAGAAUCAACUUUCUUCUUGAAAUGGAGACAUGGGAUCUCGUUGUUUGAUGACGCCAAGCCUUGGAGAGAGCAGUAGGGGUUUCAAAAUAUGAUCUGACUCAUGAGUUCCUCGAGGACUGCCAACUCUGACUUGAUUCUCUUGAUUUGAUUAUGCCAUGAGUCUUUAUUGAGGACGAUUGUUAUAAGGGUGCUUAGAAGCAAUGAGGAUGUGACUUGUUUUGGGUUUGUUGAGGAAAAUGUAUUUUGUUUGUGUUAGGACGGUGUUUUGGGAGUUGUGAGGGUGUAUGGUAUUGAAAUGUAUUGUAUGGAUAUGAAUUUUGAUAUGAGUAUGAAGCUUUGGAGUAUGGAUUUGGUGGUGUAUGCAAUUGUGUAUUGAAAUGCAUGGUAUGUUAUUGCAUGAAAAUGCAAUAGUGAAAUGAUUUUUUUUGCUUCAUUUUAUAGUCAAUGAUGAAGGUGCAUGAAUAACUUUAUUUUUUACUUUUUAGAUAAUGUAUGAUGUAUGAAAUGCAAUAUGUGAUAGUGCAUGAAAUGCAAUGUUUGAGUGAUUUUUUAUGAUGAAUCCAUGCAUGAGUAGAGGAUAUAUUUUUUGUAUGAUUAGAUGAGUGAAUGUUUGAUUUCUUGUAUGAGUGUUGGAAUGUUGACUUUUUUUAUGAAUGUUUGAAUUAUGCAUGAUAUAUUUUUUUGUUUUUUGAUGAAUAUUUGAAUAAUGAAAUUUUAUUUUCUGCUUUUUGAUUUUCUGAAUGUAUGUAUGAAUGUGUGAAUGAAUGAUUUACGAAUUUUAAAUUUUAUGAAUUUAUGUAUCAAUAGAUGAACGAAUGACUGAAUGAUAUUUUGGCUUUUAACUCAUUAUAUGAAUGGACGAAUAUUUGAAUGAUAUAACUUUUAGAAUGAUAUAUAUUUUGAUUAAUGUAUGAGUGCAUGACAUGCAUGAACUUGAUAUAGUAGUGUUAAUGCAUUUUGAAUGCCCCUUGGGUAUGAUAGACCUUAUUUAGGGAAAAUAUAACCUUAGUUACAAUAUAAUAAAAUGUCAUGAUGAAUUUCACCCCUAUCAUAUUGUUAAGGCCAAUUCUUGAAUUAACUGAUAAAGUUGUGAGCUUAUUCAGAUGAAAGAGAAUACAUACCUAGGGCGAUGAUUUCAUCGACAAGAAUGAAAAUUGUCCCUACAGCGUUGAGCUCAUGGUAGGGUAUGAAAAUUAUCCCUAAGGCGCUUAGCCCAUGGUAAGGAACAAAAAAAAUUAUCCCUAGGGCGCUUAGCCCAUGGUAGAGAACGAAAGAAUUAUCCCUAGGGCGCUUAGCCCAUGGUAAGGAAUGAAAACAAUAUCUCUAGGGCACUUAGCCCAUGGUAAGGAAAUGAACAAUUAUCCCUAGGGCGCUUAGCCCGUGGUAAGGAAUGAAAGAAUUAUCUUGCCGUCCUUAUAGAAUAAGGACAUGAAAGUGCAAUAAUAUCCUCGUAACACUCUGACACGAGGACUUUUUAGGGACAAAAGUCCCAAUUUAUAAAUGGUGAAGGAUAAAGUUUGGGUUAUGCAUCUUGUGUCCUAAAUAAGGUACACUUAUAAGGUUCCGGAUAGUCUAAAGGUCACAACCCUAUGGGGAUGGUACUAAGUCUUGAUUAAAGUGGAUACGGUAAUAACUUCAGACUUCUAGGUCACCAGAUCGCAUCCAAUCUCGAAGGAAAGGAAACCAAAUAUCGCGGGCUAGAAACGAGAAGGAUCGAGCCCUCCAAGCCGCUAACUCAUGAUACCGGAAACGAUCUGGGUGGUCCAUUCUGCCAAUACCAGAUAUGACUCGAAGUCACUUACCGACAAAGCAGAUGUCCCUUCUAUCUCAAAUCCUAAGCACUAAUACCCGGGUCAAGGCAUAUGUGUGUGUGCAAACUCAAGUGUACAACAUUAGUGUGUGAGGAAGCAUACAAACCUUUUCUUAAAAAUAAAUUACCACCCCCAAAAACUACAAAAUAAUUAAACAGGGAGUUCACAGAUAAUAAAUAAAAUAAAAGUAAAGCAUAUAAUAAUUGUAAAAAAUACGGCAAACAAAAUAUGGGUAAUUAAGUCCAUGAGUUAGCGGUUCUAGGCCUGACCCUCUUAUGGGUGUCCCUAGUGGAGUCGCCAGCUAUCGCGACCCGAUUUUCGGUUGGAAGACCGGCUCUAUGACUUAGGGAGAGGCGAAUUCGGAUUUUACCUCUUCCAAUUGAUUUGGAGUCGCCACUAAGUUUUUUGCGGUUAAAACGUAGAAAACUCUAAUAAGCCCAAUUAGAAUAAAAUGGUCUUUAGACAGAGAUUCUGAGCUCGGGAGUCGAUUGCGGAUCGGGGAAGGUAUUAGCACCCCGUCCGCCCGUAUUAAAACGGUACCCUCGCUAAUAACAUGGACUUUUAUACCCUUAACAAUUAUUUAUUUAUAAUUAUUUAUUUUUAUUAUUGAGCUUGACAAUAUUGACUUUGGUCCUUCGUGCCCCUAUUAAGGAGAUCAAAGCUUACGUAGUUCUAGUUGGAAAAUUGUUUAGCCACUUUGGUUAAUUGUUAAUGUUUUAGAAAAUAUCGAUUAAUUUAUUGAAUUGGUUAAUGUAUAAUUUUUUGAUUUAAUGAGACUAAUAGUUUUAGAGACGGUGUAGGUCGUAGACCUUCUCCUCGUUUUUGGGGGAGUUAGAGACGACUCGAACCAUAACCUUACUAUAAAAAUCCCAAUUUAUUCGGUAGAAUAGUUUUUAAUUAUUCGUGCAUUUAGAAUUUGGAUGAUAAAAUAGUUUAUAUAUAGAAUUAAUAGUAGUAUUUUAGGCCACUCUAGUGCUUUGUGCAGUCUGGUGGUAUCUCUUUUAUGGAAUUGGCAUGGUCCCUAUAGGAUUAUCCUUCUCAUGUCGCGGCUACUUAGUAAUGGAUUUCCUACAAAUUUUCAGCAUUUCAAAAGAGUUGUGGCUCUUUCUGCUGCCCGCCCUUGUGUUUAGAGGCAGAAACUUCAAUCCAUCUAUUUUAGGACUAUCUUUGGUUCAGGGACAUCUAGAUGUCCCUUCUCAAAAUCCCUGAUGGCCACUCCUUUUUUUAGGUGUUUUAAUUGAUUGGUUGGCUUUUAACCUGGACUGCGCGAAGUUUUCAGUUGGGGGAAUUUGAUAAGUGUCAAACAUACCUAAAUUUCAUACACUUUUAUGGCACUUAUCUUAAGCAUAAUUGAGAAAAACCAACUUAAAACAAUACUUUUUGUAUAAAAUAUCACAAUCUUGUAUAUUUUUGUUUGUAUUUCUUUUUAUGUAUUUUUUAGGAUUUAGAAAGAAGAAAAGAAGAGAAACAAAAGACUCAUGGUCAAAAAGAAAAAGAAGUCAAAAUCAAGGUGCUCAAACAGGCAGCUGAUUGUGGAUCAAGCCACGCUAAGCUGACAUGGACACCAGUCUGACCUGGACACCAGCCUGACCUAGACCAAGCUGCCCAAGCAAGCAGUUGAUCAGACCUGCUUGGCCGCUCAACCUAGCACCAGACUAGUCCUAGCAUGAUCAGACCUCAAGCUUGACACGGUCAGACACGAGCUUGGCACAUGCCCGAGCUGCUGAACAAGCAGCUUAGCAGUCCAACAAGCAGCUUAGCGGAGAACCAGACUCCGGCCCCGAUAGAGGCCACGUCCCAGUUAGCACGGUCAAAGCUACUGAACAAGCAGCUUAGUGGCACAACAGGUGUGCUAAGCGGUGUGCACCCAGACUUGACUUAGCCAACAAGCAAACCAUGAAGUCACCAAUGACCUUACCUUAAGUAGCCUACCAUAGGCUUUCUAGAGUAGCUCACAAUAGCUGGUUUCAUAGCUCACAACUAGCUUUGAUGAGUCAAGCAUAAGGAGGUGACAAAGCUGCUUGAUCAAUGGACCAAACCCAUGUUGAAGGGUUUGGUCAGCUGCUUAGCGGGACUGACAAGCAGCUUAGUGGCCCAAAAGAAUUUCUAUAAAUAGGGAACAUUCCAUUCGAGCAAAGGGCAUUAAAAAAAUCAGAUAAUAUCUCUCACAUUUCACUCACAUUUUGCCUAGAAAUUCUUCUUCUCUGAAGUUCUCUCUUCUUGGUCUUAGCUCUUAGGAACUUUAUGUAAGUAAGUUUUGUAAUUUUAGUUUAUAAUUCAAGAGGAGAAAAGGAGAAGGCAAAUGAGAUGCAAAAAUCAAUUUUGUAAUCUCAUUUGGAACUCAAAGCAUCCAAUCCUUGGAUGGAUGGCUCAUGCUCCUAACAAUUUCUUUUGAAUAUGGUUAUGUAUUACUACUUCUUCUUAUAUUCUAAAGUUUGAAUUUUAAUCAUUCAAGUUGGUGCUUUGAUUAAUUUUACUUGUUUGAGAAAUUCUUAAUGCUCUUUUUAGAUUGAUCACCUAAAAAUUGAUUUCAAGUCAUAAAAUUACUUGUCUCAAACACUUAACAAAUAAACUAAGAAGUAGUUGUACUACUUAGUUUAUUUUCCAAGUUAAUNNNNNNNNNNNNNNNNNNNNNNNNNNNNNNNNNNNNNNNNNNNNNNNNNNNNNNNNNNNNNNNNNNNNNNNNNNNNNNNNNNNNNNNNNNNNNNNNNNNNUUUAUUUAUUCUUUAAUACCAACCUUCCUUAAGGAAGAAGUUUGGUUUGUUAAUAAAAGGAACCCGAAAGGGAGUAAAUAAAUAAAGGUCACUUAAAUUUAUUAUUCUUUUGUUCUUUAUUUAUUUAUUUGUUUCUAACAACUAACUAUUCAUCAGUUUUGUACAUUAGAAUACCAUUAAACUGGUGUUGGAAUUUAUUCCACAAAACCGAGAUGGUAUUCAAAGGUACUUAAUAAUUAUGUAAUAGGGGAUUGCUUCGAUACCAUUGUACCGGCGUUAGAAUCUAUUCUAACAAAGCCGAGAUGGGGCAAAGAAUGAAUAACUUAUUCACAUGAUUAUUAAAAGUAAGUUGUAACUGGAAUAUUCUUGAAACCAUUAUACCGGCAUUGGAAUUUAUUUUAACAAAGCCGAGACGAUGAACAAAGAAUAAAACCGAGUUCACUUACUUAAUCAAAUAAAAAGAAAACACACCGAAAUGAGAAAGGGAAAACCAAAACCCCUCAUUCCUUCCUCAAAAAUUAUCUUUCAACAUUGCUCCUACUAGGGAAGGUGAGGAAUGAGCUUUGGUUUUUGGUAUAGCAGUGGAGUCUAUUUGGAGAAGCAGGAAUCUGCUUAUUUUUUAGAGUGAAGUGGAUAUCCCAGGUUGGCUUAGUGCAGAGAUAUAAGCCCGUUGCCAAAGCACUUCCUUAGCUAUGCAGUGUCUUGCCUUAACAACUUUGAAAUCAAGUAAUCCUAAUGCGUCAAUCAUUCGGUAGUUCCCACCAGAUGCUGGUUUGGUUAAGUUAAAUACGGAUGAUGCUUUCUCAGUGACUAGAAAUCUGGCUGCUUGUGGAGGAGUGGUGAGAGAUCAAUGUGGGGUUUUCCUCUUUGCGUACGGUAAUCGGCUGGGGCAGUUUUUAGUGGUCCAGGUCGAGUUAUGGGGUAUUUUGACGAUGUAACACCCUGACUCAACGGAAUUAAAAUAAUAGACAAGUCAAGAAAUGAUAUAUUGCAGAAUUAAAACCAUUUUGAAAAUGUGGAGUAAUUUGUUUUUUCAAAAUCUCUUUCAUAUAACAACGAACUAGAAUUUUAAAACACUCUAAAAUUUCUCAACUUGUCACGGGACACACUACCUAGUCAUAAAAAUUGUCUUUCCUUUCCUUCGGACGAUGCCACAAUCAUUCUCCAUGAAGUCACGUACUCCCUAAAAUGUUAGGAGAGUCAGUACUUCCAUAUAUGGUAUAUAAAUGACACAUAGGAUAUCAAAUUCACAUAGCAGUUAUCAUAUAAUCAUUAUCUCAUGGAUGUAAUCAAAUAUGGAAUGUCAAUGUCAUGAGGUAUUAAUAACAAUUAGGUCUAUACUGACACAACUAUUACUCUCUUAAUGAGUGCAUGGAGAAAUGAUUUCUAUAGGGCCCCUAGAUUUAAUGUUAAUACCGACACUGGUCGAACCCGACCAGUCCUAUGUUGUUCUUAGGAAGCGAUCAAGAUGAAUAAUGCAUCCUGUCCACCAUUGGUAACUCAACGACAAAAUAUCGUGUACUAGGUAGCAUCGGAAACCAUUCGGUCGACAAGGAUAAUUGCCAUAUCAUCUUGAACACAAUACCUUCAAGGGAGUGUCAGAGGUCACCGUAGUUACUGCAAGGAGUUUUGUCGGUGAAGGGGAGCUACCCUAUUCCAGACAGAUCGAUCCCCACCCGCAAUGUCCCUUCAACCAAGUCAUUCAAACUAGGUACCCCUAUGGAUUCCCUACACAAUGUUAGCAAUGUCAUAUCUUUCUGUAGACUAUGCUAUUAAGAGUAGACACAGUGAUAUGGAUCUUAUGAUCCAUGAAUGACAUGACCACGAUUCCUAUAAGAUGAACGGAGAGAAACUUUUCAAGAUAAAGACAACAACUUUAUAAAAACCAUAUUUUCACGGAAAUAAUCACUUUAUGUAAGUCAAGAGAAUGUAUUCUAAUUUGACACUUUGAAAUAAAAUAGCCUUAAACUUAUGGUUACUCAAAUCGCUUUCUUUUGACUUAGAAAAUAAAAACUUUGUUUAAAACCGCAUGCUAAUAUGUUUUCCAAACAACGUUCCACCAGUUUUCCAGUAAAACACUAUCUACAUAUGCAAAAGACUUUAACUGGCGAAAGAUAAGUAAAAUGAUUUCAUUUUCCAAGAGCAUCAUUUUAUGUAAGUUAAGACAACAUAUACUAAUUUGACACUUUGAAAUAAAACAACCUUAAACUUAUGGUUUCUCAAUUCGCUUUCUUUUGACUUAGAAAAUAAAACCUUUGUUUAAAACUGCAUGCUAAUAUGUUUUCCAAGCAACGUUCUGCCAAUUUUCUCGUAAAACACUAUCUACACUUUCAAAAGACUUUAGCUGGCGAAAGCUUAGUAAAACAUUUUUAUUUUCCAAAGAAAUCAUUCUUCUCAAACCACAUCCUUUUUAAAAUUGAUUUCAUCAGGGAUACUCGUAUGCCAUGCCAUGAUAAUACAAAAUGACAAUUUUAUCAUGAUGCAACAUAUAAUUCAACAUUCUCAAUUAUUCAUGUCAAUUAAUAUUUCAUUAUCAGGAUCAAACAAUCAUAUCAAGUAUGUAGCAAUUUCAUAUUACUUGGAAUUAUCAAAAUAACCUUAAUCAUACCAUUCAUUUCAAUUCCAAAGGUAGACAAAUAAGUAUGCUUAUUCAAACAAGAUCACAUAUUUAGCAUAAAAUCAUGUAUCAAAUAAAAUCUAUUCAACUUAAAGUUAACAAUUUAUGAGUUAAAGGGCCUCAAUACCCGAUUACUCACGGCCACAGAAAUAGUAUUCGACUAUAUCUGCUUUAGGCCUAGCUUAGAGAUGCACGAUUAUCUUUGGCAUAAUUUCUAAGCUCAUACAUGAAAGCACUUCUCUCCAUACCUGUACUUCUACUGAUCCUAUUAAUUCCUUGUCGUAGCUUGCCUGAGUGUCGAGUACCUGAUUAUGUCUAAAAUGAUUAACUUCGAUAUUUUGAAUUUAUUAUAAUUUAUUAAGAAGUUGUCCUAGUAGGCUCUAGACAUGUGAACAUAUCCAAAGAUUUUAUUUAGAUACAAUUAAAGUCUUAAUUAGGUACGAUAAAAACUUACAUGCAUAUUUGACUUAGAGACUCAAAAUUAACCCGAAAGGCUUCGAUUUCGAUAACUUGAGACAUACAUGAAUAUGGCUCAUGUGGGGUUAAAACUGAACAUAUAUAAGUUUGGUUCAGUGAGAUUAAAAGCUCUAAGUUAUCCUAGAGGUUAUUGAUUUCGAUAUAGGGUUUAGCGGUGGGGUAAAUGAUCUCUCGUUGUAGCAAAACUCAUUGAAGUGUGUCAUAACUCCUCAAGAGAGUAUUAGAACCAUUCUCACAGAACUUAGGCCAUGGUAUAUGGGAUUUAAGGUCACCCUUAGUCCAUUAGAGACAUCAUCUAGGAGUACCGGGGACCUAAGGUCGAAACCAAUGAUAUUAAUGAUGUUUGGGCUUCCCGGUCACCAUAAGACUCAUGGAUAAGCUUUGAAACCCUAAGAUUUUCUUGGAUAACACCUAAACACACCUAGAACAGAAUGACAUUAAAAACUAAGUCCAUGCAUGUGAUAGAAUUUAGUCUUAAAGGUUCACACAUAACCUACAACACCAAAAUCAUUCUUUUUGACUAACACCCUAGCUUUUUAAUAGGAUGAAGUGUGGUUUUUAUCUAGGACCCCUUGGAUUUUCGUGGUUUAACAUAAGAUAAUGCUUAAGACAUAAUUCCUUUAUGAAUCUAGGCACAUGCAUGUGAAUAUUUCUCAGCUGUAAGAACUCCUACAUACUACAACAUCUAACCCAUCAUAUUAAGCUCAUUGUCAUGGUAAGAAUGUGGGUUAGGGUUUGAAAACCUUCGAACCCCAAUAUUUAGAGGCUCAAAACCUAAAACAGAAUUAAAUUGACAUGCAAAAACGAAAGUGAAGUUUAAUGGUUCAACAACCAUUCAAGUAGAUUAAGAGAAACUCAAACAACAAAGAAACUAGCUUGAUCAACAUGCUACUAGAACUGAACAUUUAGAACAUAUUUUUGAGUAUUUAGAAGAUAUAAUUUCACUUUUUUGAGUUAAAAAAUGAGUUCUCCAUACCUCAAAAUAGUUGAAUAGCUUCUUGAUAAGGUUCUAAGGAGGAGAAUGGAGAAUUGCUAACAACCUACACAACUAAUGCCUUUACCUAAGGCAUGGAAAAUUUAAGAGAGAAAACAAGAUAUGAGAAGCUUAAAGAUUGGGAAAAAAGGCCAUAACUAUGAUUAUCAUAUCUUAGAGAGCUUGGUUUACAUGCAAGUUUGGAGUGAAAAUGUAGGUCACCCUCCCUUCCUAGUUUAAUGUUGAGAAAGUGGGGUGGAGGAGGAAGAAGAUGUUGUGUGGGUGUGUGAGACUUUUGGGCGAGGUUCAGCCCCUUAAGGGAUUUAUAUAGGAGUGGGGGGAAAGGAUGAGGUGGGUGAUUAAGGGAUAAUUACCCCUUAAUGAUGACACGUGGGAGCAUUUGUCACCUUCUUGGACUAAUCAUGCAUGCAUGUUUCUUCUUGUUUUUGUUUUGUUUUGUUUAGUUUAUGUUCUCUUUUGUGUAAAUCAUGAAUGUGUUUCUUGAAUUCUAAGACACUUUAAUACAAGUCUUAAUAGUGUGUAGAUGAGUAUAGAUGAUAGUUCAUACCUCAUAGAUUGAUAGCUUGGGCUCUAAGAAACAAGACUAGACAAGAUACAUGUACCUAGACCAAUCUAGGUACUACUGUUUUGAGAUGGGUUAAAUACCUGGGUUCAUUGGUUCUAAGAGAAUAGGUUUAGGCUCAAGAAUCACUCAAAAAACUAUCAUAAUGAAAAAGUUAUGGAUUUUCUAAGGAAUGAGAAUUUUGGCUAAUACUAGAACACGAGUUUGCACUCUAAUUGGCUUGAAUAUGACUAGAUAAUUCCAAAUGUGAUUAUAGCACUUGAAAAACAUUAACUUAUACUAUCAGAAUAAUUUCUAAGAGGUUUGAUUAUACUCAAUGUGAGAUAAAGACGAAUGCACACACUCGUAGGCAAAGUUGGCAGUAGGGUUAUUGACAAUUUUCAGGAAAUUGUGUGAGUUGUUACUCGGGAUCUUUAAUUGGGAUAAUAACUUUAUAUUUCAUUAAAAAUUAAUACAUAAUAGAAUAAUAUAGGCCUACACAAGUCAUAGGGUCCCUUGGACCACUUCUGACGAAGUUUUGUGACGAUAGAUUUACCUGAUACCAGGUAAAUCCCAACUGUGGGAAACUUACUACUAAGCUUCUAACAUACUUAUUUUCUCUCAUAAUUUCACAACAUAAUCCUAAUUUAUGUUGGAAACUAAAUCAUGAAGUUUUCCUAAUGAAAAUCCAUGAUUCACAAUUCAUUUCCUAACUCCUCUCAGUACCCAUCUAUAACUCGAGUAAGUCGACUUCUUACUCGAGUAAUCCUUUAUACUGGACAAGAGAUUUCACAUAGUUCCAUAUUAUUUAAAAGAAUAAUAGACACAUAUAUAUAAUCAGAGAGCUGAAAUUUGGGAUGUGACAGACGAGACUUUGGUUUCUCUAGGAAAGAGGUUUUCAAUGGGUCUAUGUGGAGUUCGACUCAGUUUGUAGUGCCCAGUUGGUGGGUUUAGGGUGUUCUAGGUCUCAUCCUUGAGUUGUUCUUGUGAAGCAUAUCAAAUUACUUAUGUCAUCCUUCACUCAAGUUUUGUGCAACCAUGUCUUCCGAGAAGCUAAUACAGUUGCGAAUGUCUUUGCUAAGCGUGAUUUAGACUUAUAUAUGCCUUCAAGAGUUUUUUAUGUUAAUCCUAACUUUUGUUCUAUUCAUUUGUUGUUAGAUAGUGUUUCUACAAUUUAUUGUAUAGGUGGGUAGGUUUGUUUAGUUUUCUUGCUGUUUCUUUUUUGUUUCCAUCCUAGGCUGCUGAGCCUUCUUGUAUCACCGGUAAAAAGAUAAUGUAUGUCAUUUAUGACUUUUAGUCAUGUCAUUUUGAUGGAUAUUGUGACAUAUGUUUUUAUUAUGUUGCUUUAGAAUGACAAAUAUAAAGAUAAUUGAAUAUUUAUACUUAGUCAUAAAAUGAACACAAUUGAUUCUUGGAAAUAAUUUGUCUUUUUGUUCAAAUAAUCGUAGAGAAUGAAGUCGAAUUAUUGAAGGUUUAAAAAUAUCUCGUAAUGUCUUUUGAAUCAUUGUUUUAGUUAGAACUCAUAAUUAUUAAAUUUUAUUCAUUGUGAAUAUGUUUAAUAAUUAUAAGUUUAUAACUAAACAAUGACUCAAAAGACAUAACAAUAUAUUUUUAAACCUUCAACAAUUCAACUUCACUCUCUAUGAUUAUUUGAACAAAAAGUCAAAUUAUUUUCAAGAAUCAAUUGUGUUCUUUUUAGGACUAAAUCUAGAUAUUCAAUUAUCAAUAAUUUUGUCAUUCUAAAGCAAAAUAAUAAAAGCAUAUGUCACAAUAUUCAUCAAAAUGUCAUAACUAAAAGUCAUAAAUGAUAUUAAUUAACUAAAACAACUACAUAUUAACUAUGAUCCAAAAGGAUUUAUAGAAAUGUAAUUCCCAGUUAGUUUUAGUUACAUACAUAUAAAUAAAUUGAAGUAUCUCAAAGUAAUACUUUGUUCCUACCAAGGUAUCAGAGGUUAGUUUCAUCCUUAUAGUAAGGUAACCCCAAUACAAAAGAAAAAUAACAUAUGGAGUAGCUUCAUCACCAAUCAUAAAAAAUAUCAACCAUCCAAAAUACCAUUAACUGUUGUUUGCUAUCUGUAUGAUCAUAACACUUACAAUACACAAUAUACAAAAACAAAGAGAGAGUACGUUAUCCUUUUAAGGCACAAUAUGUGUAAUUGUUGAAAACGAGAUUUCAUUAAGCUAGGAAUUCCCCCUUCAACAACAAAACAUGUCACUUUGUUGAAAGGGUUUUCCUAGUUGUUGCAAAUUUAUUUUAUUUUAGAGUGAUGAGUGAUGAACAACUUAUUUAUUUGAUGACUUUAUUUAUUUACUCCCUUUUCGGAUUCCUUUUAACUAUACCAUAAAGGUCGGUCUCAUUUUAUUAAGUUAACCAUACCAUUUCUUAUGAAACAAAAGAAUAAAGUUAGAAGUUAACCGUACCACUUCUUUCAAAGGGUUGGCAUAAAGAAUAAAGAAUAAAGCAAUAAAUAAAUGUUAGUUGCAGAAAUGUAAAUGACCGAAAGUAAAUGUUAGUUGUAGAAAGUAAAUGAUGGAAAGUAAAUGUUAGUGGUUAGAUUAUUAAUAAUCACUCUUCUAUUGUCAAGUAACAAUCCAUUGAUUGGAUUGUACUUUUGCAUAUUAUUCCAAUGUACAAAGUUACAAACCAUGAAUUGGUUUGAACUUAUGUUUUUAGGAAUCUUUUAAUCAAUAAGUAAAAUUUAUAAGUUAAUACUUUACUAUGUUACACUUGCAUCUCUUCUCAAGAUUCAAUUGUAAUAUAAUAUAGGGUUAUGUCAAACCACAAGGAAUUUCCUAAUGGAAAUGUACUCACACUUUAUAUCUUUUAUCAAAAGUAAGAAACACAUAGAUUUGUUUUUGUGAUUUUAUGAACUAAGAAACAUGAAAAAGUAAAGAACUAAUUAUAAACAAAUUAUUAAGGAGAAAAUUGAUUUGAAAGAUGGAAUUAUUUCUAGACUCAAAUGAUUUUUAAAAAUAUUAACAAGUUAUGUGUUAUACUUUCGGUUAAUUCCACACACCAUUUCUAAAUCCUUCCUCUAGUAUCCUAGUAUGAUAAGUGCUACUCGUCGGAGCAGGUUGUCACACCCUACUUCAAGCUCCAUUAACAUCAUUUAGCCUUAAACAUAAGUUUCUUAAAAUAGAUGCUUGAUAUGGAACGUGCACUAAGGUGUAGAUUAUACUUUUUAGUUCACUUGUCAACACUUUAAGAAGAAACAUUUUUAGAUCUUUGAAUCAAGUUUUUGGUGAUCAAAAUAAAACCACAUUAAGAACUUCUUAAAGAAUCAAAACGUAACCGAAGAUAAUAACUUGAAUGUAUUGACAUCAAAAGAUGAUACAAAUGAAGAAAAGAAAUAACCUUACACCAUAAUCCAAAUCAAUGUGUAGGAGCAUGCGCCAUUCAUCCAAGGAUGAGAUUCUUUUGGAACCAAAUGAGAUUACAAAAUUAUGUUUUUGCACCUCAUUUUCCAACUCCUUUCUCCUCUUGAAUUCUAAGAACAAAACACCUAAAAACAACCUAAGAACUUCUCAAGUGAAAGAGAACCGAAAAUGAAAAGAAGAAGACCAAACUACAAAGAAUGUACAAUGUUUACAAUGUGUUAAAGUGAAGGAAUAAGUGUGCCUUUUAUAGGCAAUGUGAAGGAUGCCUGGCCCCCCUUUCUAAGCCGCCCAGCACCUUGGUCAGACGGUUUGGCACACCCAAAGCUAGUGGGUCAACACCUUGUCCCAUCUUGGCCAGCUAGAUUGGACAACCUAUUAUGGGCUAUGUUGCAUGCAUGUUGACACCUCCUACUUCACUGUUCAGAACAUAUGUCAUGCAUGAGGUCAUAUGUUUGGUCUUCAAGUAAUGAAUAUGCAAGUUGCUUGAUGAGUUGGCCAACCUUUCUUCAUGGCUAGGUUUCUUGACCUGCUUGGGCGCCUAGGCCCCCUUUUGGCCCACGCCUGGCUGGUUGGUUGGUUCCUUCAUGGUGAAGGAACCUACCUUUCUUCAAGCCGAACCAACCUUUGUUCCUUAGUUUUUGACUUGAUUUUAGUUGGUUACUUGGCACUUUGAACAAGAUUUCUUCAUGUCUAGGUAAGGUUUUGAGUUUUUCUUUGCUUUGCAUACUUAGCUUAGGUUUCUUCAAGGUGAAGUAAGUUAUUUCUUCAAGCCUAAGUCAUCUGUUUUUGGUGACAAGCUAAGCACACAACAUGCCAUACUUGGCUUGUUUGUUUUGAGCAUUUCCUUUUGAACUUCCGGCUUGUGAUUUGGCAUGAAUUCUUGGUUAUCUUUUGGAUUAAUUCUUUUCAAUCAAUUUCCUAUAAAAUUCAAGAGAAACUUGGACAAGAGUUGAUCAAAAUUUAUAUUAUUUAAACACACAAAAUUUAUCUAAAAAGUGUUGAAUUAAGUUGGUUUUCCCAUUUUUGCAUAUGAUAAGUGUCAUGAAAAGUGUAUGAAAAUUAGGUAUGUUUGACACUUAUCAGUAAUUAUAGAGAAUAAUAGUAUCUUAACACAACAUAAACUAUCAUAACCCAACAUAAAUCAUCAUAGCACAACAUAAACAAUCAUAACUGAGCAUAAACAACCAUAUCAUAAAAUAAAAAGAUAACAUAACAUUUCCCAAACAUGGAACUCAUUCUCAUGAACAUGAUGGGUAAACUACAUAAUGUAUCACAACUAGUUCGAUGUCAAAGGCAAUGUAUGUGGAAUCAUAUUCAACCUUUUACUUUUCAACUCAACUCCCUUUAUUUUUUUAACUCAACUCUUUUAAGAAAGAAAUCGGGAGUAUAACACAUCGUCUAUGAUAUAAUAGAAAUCAUCAAAUACACCUAUCGGACCAAGAGACUAUCGUACCAGGAGCUCUCUCACUGAUCUAGAUAACUCAAAGGGGGUGUCAGAAUCAUUUGGUUAAGUAGGAUUAUCCUGAUCUACAAGGGAUCAGCCUAGACCGUCACUAGACAACCGUAUACAAUCAAUCCUGAAGGUUUUCAUGAAGAAUCACCAUCAUUAACCACCCCUAUUCAUUUCCCAAGAUAUUUCUAUCCUGAAUAUUUCCAUUCCACCACAAUCGUCCCCUAAUGCAAUGAUGAAUAUAUGUCAAACUCAUUUAUACUCAUGUGUCAUAACCAGAUUUACAUUACUUUUUAUGUACAUGUGUAAGUAUAUAUAUAUAUAUAUAUAUAUAUAUACCAUCACCAUCUACCAUUUCGUUUCAUCUAAACCAAGUGCAAAUCAAGAUAAUCACCAUUAAUUAUAAAAUUCUUUCAAACACAACAUUCACACCAUUAACAAGCAUACACUUAGGAUAUCACAACAUUCACAUAAUCUAUCAGACUAUUAACCAAUAUGAGUAUGAGUUUACUAACUAUAAUGUUCUCAAUAUUGAUUCUUAUACAUAAAAAAGUAAACUUAAUACAAGUUUGCAACUGAAUUUGUGGUCAAUGGACCAUGCAAUGACACAAGACCACGAACACAAUGGCCAAUAAUAUACUCUCUCACCUUAGGUGUUUUGGUUAGGUAUUUGAGCUCCGCGUAAGCCUCAUUGUGUUCCUCCAACAAUAGACCCAAUUCCUAAUGACAUCAACAUCACAAUCUCAUAACUAGUGCUAAUUAAUAGAAGCUCUCACAACACAAAAACCUCAUAAAAAAUUAUUUGGUAAACGGCUACACCUAAACAAGAGUUAUCUUGAUAAACCAUUUUUACACAUAAACUGAUGCAACAUUAGAAUUUAGGCCACAAGAAGGUACACAAUUUUGUAUAUACUAAUUUAACAUAAAACCAAUUUAUUAUUAGAAACUAAAUAGAAAGGGGGGAAACUAACCCUAAUCAAAAUAAAGUUAUCAUAGGCAUAUGAAAUUAUAGUUAUAGAUUAACAUGCAGUGAUCACAAUAUAUUUCAUUAUUGAUGCUUAUAAAUACCCAAGCUUAAGAAUGGAGAAGAAAAGAAAAACACCAACAAAAUUUAACUCACCUAUUUUCUACACUUUCACUCAAUAGAAAGAGAGAGAAAUAGAGAAAGAAAAAGAGGAAGAUACACUAAAAUGAGAAAGAUGUGAGGAACUCACCAACUUUCUCCUUCUCCUCCUCCAAAAGUCACAUUCAAGUUUUGCAAAGAAAAAGGGAGUGAGUCUUCUUUCAAUUUUAUUCUUUCUUCCAAAUCAAUUAGGACUCCAUUUAAUCAAUUAAUAAAGGUCUUCCAUAUUAUUAUUCCAAUAAUUUAUAUUUGCCACAAAACUAUUUAGAUUGAAUAGGAUAUUUACUAAAAGUAUCUUCAAUAUAUCAUUAUACUCACAUUAUGAAAUAUGUAGGUAUUACAAUCCUUCCCACCAAACAAAAAUUUUGUCCCUGAAAUUUAACUCAUACAUUCCUCAUCCCUUUCACUCCAAAUCACUUUCACUAGAGAAAUCUUUUUCCCUCAUAGUUGCUUCACACUAUGAUCAAGAAUCCCCAUAGAUAACAUCCUAAAAGUAAGCCUUUCUUUCAAUUGUAUAACAUCUGGUUCAAUCACAUGCCAAGGAUCACGACUGUACUUCCUAAGUUGUGAUACAUGGAGUACAUUGUGGAGAUUUGAAAGAAUUAGUUGUAAUGCGAUCUGAUACACGUCAUGACCAAUCUUCUUAAGGAUUUUGUAAGGACCAAUGAAUCUUGUAGUAUGAUUUCGAGAUUUUAGGAUGCUACCAAUUCUAGUAGUCGGAACUACUCCCAUGAAAACAUGGUCAUCUUCUUUAAAGUCGAGGGGCUUCCUCCUUUUGUCAAAGUAGCUCUCCUACGUUUUUGAACAAUCUUCAUGUUUUCUCUUAUCAUCUUGAUCUUCUCCAUAGUUUGUUGUACCACAUCGGGUCCCAACACUAGAUGUUCACCUGUUUCAAACAACACAAGGGAGUUAUACACUUUAUUCCAUACAAAGUUUCAAAGGGUGUCAUUCCAAUGCUAGAGUGAUAAAUCUUAUUGUAAAUAAAUUCCAUCAAAUGCAAUAAUUUAUCUCAAUUUCUAGGUUGUUAUUGCGCACAAGCUCCGAGAAGAUCAUCCAAUGAUUGAAUUGUCCUAUGUAAUAGCUCAUCGGUUUGUGGAUGGUAGGUUGAACUCAACUUUAACUUGGUACUCAAAGCGGCUUGCAAACUAUUUAAAAAGUUUGAUAUGAAAGGAGAUCUCUAUUGGAUAUGAUGCUUGAUCGAAAACCAUGAAUUUUAACAAUCUCCUUGAUUUAUAAGUGCAUGACUAUGUCAUCAAGUAAUAAAAUAUUGAUCCCACUAGGACUGGAAAAUUCCUUUAAUUUAUACUUAACUCAAAUAAGGUAUAAAAAAAUUUAAUUUAGAACAAUUGAAGAUUUGACAAGAAUAAUUAUGAAAAUAUUAAAAAGGAUUAAAAUCUAAUUUAGGAAGAGUUCCCAAUAUAAGGGUUACCGCCUUUACACUCGCAAAUCCUUGUUUUACUCAUUUUCAUGAACUUUAAGUUAUGAGGUUGAAUGGCUUUUUGAUAUGUUUCGUCCUCUCUCGAGCUCCGACACAUGUACUCAAUUGAAGUCACACCUAUUCUCGUGGUACGAUUAUCAAUGGAGUCAUUUACUUGGAUCUUUCUAUCCAAUUGCUUUGUAGCAACCCAAGGUGAAUUCCAGAAACCCCUGAGAAUCCUAAGACUACUCUCGUGAAUUAGGAUUCUAGUUUGAAUAACUGAAGGGUCGGAUAGUUGGGUUUACCUCUCGGUUCUUCCCAAAUGUAUCUAAGAGGUUUAAUCAUUUGAUCAGACAACUCACAUGAAUAAAACUCAGUUUGAUGAUUCAAAUCACAAUACUGAGUGAAAUAGAAGUAUGAAGAUUUUUUUAUUGAAUGUAAAAUGGCAUAACCCCAAUCCUAGAAACAAAGGGAAAUACUAACUCAUAAUGGAGAAGAGUAUACCAAAUUCUAAAUUAGAGAAUUUUAAUGUAAAAGUGUGUUAAAUCCUUGAGGGAGAACCUUUAUUUAUCCUAGUUACAAAUAUUGGGCUAAACCCAACAAAACAAAUCUAAAAAAUAGGAAUAUAAUGUAACAUCUACGAACAUGGGUGUAUGCGGUGUCUUUAUUUCAAGUUGCUUCUCUUCGAUCUCGUCUCCAAGGCAACUUCUUUUGGCCAUUCAAUUGGUCUUCGCAUAACCAAAACACCAAAUUCCAUCUUCUUGCAUUCAAUCUCUACUCGUUUUGGCUUCAAUCCACCCAAACUGCAUAACAUAGCUAAAAACACCCGCUCAACCCGAACAAAGAGAAAUAAAAACUAAAAACAAUCAUAAAGUCCGAAUUAAGUCCUAAAAUGUAAGUUAAAUGCAAUGCAAGUGUAACAUAAUUUCACACUCAUCAAAUCUCCUCAAGCUUAUCUCGCUUCUCCUCAAGCAAGUAUUAUGUCUAACUUUUACAAUCAUGAUUGAAUGACGAUUUAGAAACCAUGAUCCAAAGUAAGAAGAAAUCUUAUGAUAGUUUUGAUACAUUCUAGACAUUAUGACAAGACAAUCCUAAACAAAUUUAAUUUAUGCUAAUCUUUGAGUUAUAACGAUUACGUGAAUCAGGGUCACUCUUCUCCCAUCGCUCUCAUGUGUUUAAAGGUCUUAGUGUAUAGCUCAAAAAAUUUCAUGAAAGUAAAUUACCAUAGACUUGAUUAUAUUCCGAAUCGCCAUCGACUAUAUUUGAAUGCGUGAAAAAAUCUAGAGGUCUUUAAAUGGUUGUAAUGGGGCCAAGGUGAAUGAUUUAAGGUGGGAUAGACAAAGAAAGGGUAAUUCAAAAGACUUACAAUUGUUUCCUAAAAUACUUAAACAUUUUAGACAUCUGAUUGAAGUAUUGAGAUUUUCUUAAUGGGCCUUACUUUAUCAUAUGAUCCUUUUCGAUCAACCAUUCUCAUUCUUAUGAUUUUCUUAAAGAGAGAGGAUGAAUGUUUUUCUUCUUUUUCACCUUUUUAUGAAUUCUUUCACUACACAUGGCCUUUUUACCUUUCCCAUUGCUUCAACCAAACAUCACAAAUUACUCCAAACCCUCAUUUGAGUAGCUAUGAAAAACAGUAAAUUUCAGGCUCAAAAGUGGGCAACUAAUCAGUUUUCAUUGCUUAUAGCAAGCGGUUGAAGGUCAAAAGAAAUAGUCAUAAUUGUCACUAUCAUUUUAAUGCACACAAACAGAAUUCAAUCUUGAAACAAUCAGAAAUCAAGUUCUAGAAUGUAGAAUCAUAGAAAAUUAUGCACUCAUGAAAUAAAAAGGGUGUUUAUGCAAUUGUCAAUUCAAAUUAGAUCCCUUAUUGUGUUUGACCCAAUUUCUCACAUUUGCUACAUUCAACAAAAGUUAUGAAUCAAAGACAUUUAUUUAACGAAAUUUAAUUCACAAAUGUCAAAUCUAAUGUCUUUCAUGUAAUUAUUCUAUCAAAAGUUUUUUUCUUAAAUAGAGGUUACAAAUCAACAAUAAUCAUUCAUGCAUAAUUUUUCAUUUAAAGUAGACAAACAACACAUAGAACAAAGCAGAUGAUAGAUGAGAUAUGAAACAUAUGCUAAUGUAUGAUAAUAUGAAUAUUCAAUCUAAAAAAUUUAUUAGGUAUGCAUGACAUGAAUGAACUAUCUAAAUGCAAAACCCCCUCAAGCAUAGAAAUUUAGAUUGUCCCCAAUAUAAAAAUCUAAACAAUAAGAGAAAGAAAAAGGAAACUCACAGGUUAAGUAGGAAGUGUCCCUGACUUAUGUGCCAAUUAUAAGUGGUCGGCUUCAUUGAGUGCAGCGGAAGUACCUACAAAAGAAGAGAAAAAAGGUCUCAAAUGACCUAUAUGUCCUAGAUGGACUAGGUGCAAACAUCCAUUUUGAAGAGGGCAGUUGAUAGGCACGGUCAUGCUAGCUCUUUUCCCUAUAAUGUUUUUUAGACAUUAUGGUUUUUUUGGUGGUUGACACUAUAUACAUUCCCCUACAAAGGCUCCAAACUCAGGGAGGAACUAAAGUCGACACAAACACACUAAAAUUAAUGAAUUUAAAAAUGUACCUCCAGUGUGGGUUGCCUCACACGAAGUGCUUGUUUAACGUCAUUAGCUUAACGAUUGAUCAUUGUGUAUCAUGCAGGAUCCCAUGAACUCAUACCCGAUGCUGGAGGGGUUCGUUUUACUUUCAUUUCAUAUGAUUUCCCUUUCUCUCAACUAUCAGAUUUAGGUAUGACCGUCAAGCUCUCCUCAUGCGAGUUGCAUGAGAGUGUUGAGCUUAUAUUUAUAGAUUCACUACCCUCGGC